Molecule: RNA transcript, 2883 nt
Organism: Acanthopagrus latus (yellowfin seabream)
Lineage: Eukaryota; Metazoa; Chordata; Actinopteri; Spariformes; Sparidae
Gene name: deleted in malignant brain tumors 1 protein
Exons: 10
Source: RefSeq, a predicted model, not a curated record
UGGUGAACUGAUCUUUAUGUGUGAAGUUGGUGGACUGUCCCUUUAACUCAUUCUAAAACAAGCUGAUUCGUGGGAUUAAUCAAGUGUAUCAUUUCAAAGUCUACCUUAUCCAGUUAGUGUAUGUAGGACUCGGGAACUGCAGCUGCGACCCUGUCCCGAGCAGUGACCCUCCGUAAUGGGUUUAAAGGCAGCUCUGCGGCUGGUGCUGACCUCUGUCUGCCGCAGGGAGAACGGCUCACUCCUGACUACUGACGUGAGUAUGGCGGCUUGACGGCAUUCCCAAACCCUGCCCGGACCAGCCUCAUGGACAUUGUGGCAGACACACACAGGACUCGUUAUCAUCCUCACUUUGUCUCUAAUUCGUCCUCGCAUUAACGUCAGCGCUGCUCAGUUCCGGACAAUGUCUUUAACCGACGUGACUUUAGAUUUUAGCUUUAAGUUUCAGUCUAACCAAAGUUGCUUAGCCUAGCCGCUAUCUGUUACUUUAGUUAGCCGAGCCUUUGUAGCAACACAAGCUAGCUGAUGUCUUGUGCUGUCAUUAGCUUUAUCGGCUGUCAGCGUCAUCACCGCGACAACGAGAGUCCUUCGCAACCGGCCGUCUGAUGGAAGGUGAGGGGGAACGAUGCUGAGAUUCCUCCAUAUCCUUUUAACAGGCCUCUCGGGUGUUCUGUGGGAUGGAGUUGCUGCUUUUGGUGGAGUCAGACUAGUGAAUGGGGAGAAUAAGUGCUCUGGCAGAGUUGAGGUGCUUCGCCACGACCAGUGGGGAACUGUUUGCGACCAUGGCUGGGACCUACGGGAGGCUGACGUGGUGUGCCUGGAGCUGGGCUGCGGCUUAGCCGAAACUGCCCUUCAUGGUUCAGUAUUCGGUGCAGGCAAAGGAGAGAUCUUGUUGCGCCAUGUCCAGUGUUCCGGACACGAGUCCAGUUUGACACGCUGUGCUGUUGUCCUUCACAGUGACUCCCACUGCACCCAUUUGAAUGAUGCAGGGGUGAAAUGCUCAGGUACCCUUUUAACACCCACCCUCACCCUGCUGUCGCCUCACACUGUGUUCACUUCUGGCGAGGCUGUUCGCUUUAGCUGCAGCGUCCCGCUGGGUCACCACCUCAGUGACUUUCACCUGUACAAGCAUGGAGUGUCCACGCCGCUGGUUACACAGAGGGCGGACCAGACCCAGACCAGAGUGGACCUGACGCUGACUGACAUUGAGGCUUCCCACCAGGGCAGCUAUAGUUGUCGGUACAGGAUCAAGGGCGGGUUCCCUGCUGAGCUGCUCAGCUCUCCACCCAGCAACUCCAUCAACAUUACCGUUGUGGAGCUCCUGACUCCCCAGCAUUGGUACAACACGUCCACUGAGGCCCCGGCUGGUUCCGUCCUAAAAGGCCACAGUUUCAACAUCACCUGCUCCACCCCGCAGCAGUACCCUGGGGGCUCCUUCCAGCUGCGUCUGAUCCGCUCCAACGGCACAGUGCGCCAGUCCCUGCCCGCCCUCGCCCCGUCUGUCACUUUCACCUUCCCCAACGCCCAGAGCUCCAACGAGGGCUACUACUACUGCCUGUAUCGGGUCCAGCUGGGUGGACGCACCUUUGUCUCCAGAGAAAGCCAGCCCCUGCCUAUAGCCAUCAGAGACCCGGAUCCAUUACUGAGUCCAGUGGUGAUCAGUUGGCUCGUGUCUGGCCUGACAUUUGUCAUAGCUGUCAUCGUCAUAAUUAUUGUAGCCAAGGUGCUGUGUAACAAGGAGAAGAAGCCUACUGAACUGGAGCGAGAGACCAGAACCUGUGUGGACAACACUUACGUUGCCUUAUCAAUUAACAAGCUAUGACUGGGUCCGAUGGAAAUGGAUAACUAAAGGUAAUGAAGACUCGGUAUGAAGCCUUUCAUUUGGCUCUUAUUUCCCCACCCCCUCCUACAUUGUUUUCAUAAUCCUCUUCAAUACAUAGAUCAACAACCUCCAAUCUAGUAAGGCAAGUUAAAAUAACCUGUUUGCAAACUGAACAAGUAAACGAGCUAGCAGUUAUUUUGUCUUUAGUGUGGAUUGAGCCAUCACUUCCCCACAUGCAAACCAAGUAUCCCUGACACUAUUUUGCAUUGGCACCAUCGCCGUAUCCUGACUGAAAUGCCACUCGAAAUUUGAUUUGUUUAUAGGCAUGCAAACAAGCCAGCCAGUCUUUUCCCCCUUAUACCAAAACUAGGAUCAGAGCAGCCAGACCUUUCUCUAGUGCUGACACAGUGCUGUGGAGAUGGAAAGGUCUGGCUCUGCAACUAUUGAAACCUCCUUGACUACAUGCAGCUGAUGUCACCUUAACUAAUCUGUCCUAUUGCAAGGGGUGAAUAUGUACCCAAACAGAGGGCUCUCGCUGUCAUAUUCAUGGGAUCACUCUGCAGAGGACGUAACACAGACCAAAUGGCUCGGUCGGAUAAAGCUCCGUCUGGACCCAGUCCAGUCCAGUCUGGAUAAAGCAGUUUUACAGUUUGGCUUUUAAGCCUUGUAUUAUGGUGAGAUGUAAGAUAACGGCCACGGAAGACUGACAGACAUUGAAAAGCUUCCAGUUCAAACCACUGGUUCAAGCUAGACUUAAGAUCUAUUGGCUCCCGCCAUGAGUCCACGUGUGGAGCGAAAACGAAACUACCUGGGUAAACUGUGACAUGAGUUCUUCAGGUCUCUGUGUACAUACAUGCAGUUCAAACAUAUUGUUUUGUAUUUAUUACCACAGGCUCCUCUAGCUUGCUUCAACAGAUCAAUGAUCCUUGAAGGAUUAGAUGUUUGUUUUUGUAUUUUAAGUCUAACACUACUAUGCAUCUCAUGGCAUUAACAAUAUUUACAUGUUUGCACUUAAAUAUGUGUGAAUAUAAGCUGUAGUUGAUUAAAAUGCUGCUGUUGUUGGA